Molecule: long non-coding RNA, 3680 nt
Organism: Phyllostomus discolor (pale spear-nosed bat)
Lineage: Eukaryota; Metazoa; Chordata; Mammalia; Chiroptera; Phyllostomidae
Exons: 2
Source: RefSeq, a predicted model, not a curated record
UCCGAGUCGACUACAGGCAUUCAGGCAACGAGCGCAGAGGUGGCUGUUCAGGCGAGAGGCUCUGCUUGAGGAAACCAGAUAAGUUUUUCUACUUAAAAAAGAGAUAGGAAUUAAUAUAAUUCUAUAGAAAAUGUAAAUAGCGGAAGUACUUACCGAGAUAUACUUAGCAUUAAAAACUUAAUUUUUGUAAAGAUCUUAAGAGAAAAUAUGAAGACGCAGGAAAAGAAAAAUAUUGCUAGAACAUGACGGAAAUUAAGAGAUGAAACUACUUAAUGAAAUAAUUUUCAAAGAAAUGGCUGAUAGGACUCCAAAGUCCGAAUUCAGAAAGCCUUAAAUUGAAAGGCAAACUUUUAAAAUGCCAUUAAAACCUAGGUGACAUAUAAUGAUCGUCAUUUUAAAGAAGUAGAUGAUUUUAAAGGCCAGUCUUUUAUAAAAAGAUUGAAGGUGACUUAAGAGAUAGACCUUCCAAAAUGGCGCAGUUAAGAUGGCGUCAUCUGAGGCCUAGUUGAUCUUAAGGCAUCGCUAGAUUGGCAAAUGUUAACUUACGAGUGAUAGGAUUAAAUUUUGGGGAAAGACUAGAAAUUGAAGGGAAAAGCUCGGAAGACAGAAGUGUGCAGGAAGGUGAAGACGACUUAGAAGAUAGGAAAAUGGAAGAUAAAACGCUAGGAAAAGAAAACUAAAGCCGAAAGGUAGAAAGCAAAAGUAUUGAAGCAGAAAACCAAAGCCAAAAGCCACUUAAGGGCACAAGAUAAAUUUAGUAGAAAACUAGAAGAUAGAAAAUGAGAAGACAAGUCUAGUAGGAAAUUAGAAGAUAGAAAAUGAGAAGAGACAAGUCUAGUAAAAACCAGAAGAUAGAAAACAAGAAGAGACAAGUCUAGUAGGAAAUUAGAAGAUAGAAAAUGAGAAGAGACAAGUCUAGUAAAAUCUAGAAGAUAGAAAACAAGAAGAGACAAGUCUAGUAGGAAAUUAGAAGAUAGAAAAUGAGAAGAGACAAAAGUCUAGCAGAAAACUAGAAGAUAGAAAAUGAGAAGAGACAAGUCUACUAGAAAACUAGAAGAUAGAAGGUUAAAAUAUUGUCAAAUAAAAAGUAAGGGAAGGUAUUGGACACAGGCAUACAAGGUGUCAAAAAAUUAGAAGGCAGAAAAGUUUAGAGCCAGAAAAUUGUGCGAAGGACAAGAACAAAAACGACUAGGGAGGGAAUUAAGUUUUAAUAACUUAAUUGUAAAAGAGUGAGUUUAAUUUCUGGUGGCGCAGAAGUUAGAUUUGAGAAGAUGAGGAUGUUUGGAAGAGUUAAAAAUUUGGAAGGCAAGGCCUAAAUGCUAGUUUAGUCGUCUUUGGAAAAUUUAAAGGACUUUGAUUUAACUGAAGUAAUUGGAGAUCAAGAACCACCACCAGUUUAACGUUUUGCAUUGGACUGAGCUCAGAUGAUUUAAAUCCUGAGGACCAGCGUUAAUUGACAAGCUGACCCAGGUGCCACGCAGAAGUGGAUUCAGUGAAGCUAGGAAGACAGGAGCGCCAGACAGGAAGGAUUCCGGGAGCAGCCAGCAGCAUGCAGUUCGUGGUGAAGCUAGGAAGGAGGAGCCCGGCAGCCGGUGCGGUGUGGAGGAAGGAGCCCCUAACGAUUUGGCGGUGAAGCUAGGAGAGGAUUCCGGGAAGGAGGAGCCAGUGCGAUGUGCCCACGCCGGCGUGCGACCUGGCGACCGCGCGGAGGCGGCGAGCGGGCGGUGGCGGAUAGAUAGCGGAGCCUAGAGCAGCGAGCGUCCGGCGCGCGAGGCCGCGAGCGGGCAGCGGUGGUGGUAGAAGUCCGGGAGGCCGGCCGCGUCCAGGUGCUUGGUAACAGGAGUAUGGUAACCUCACUUCACUCAGGGUGACGGGGGAGUCGUGCGCUGCAGCGGCGAGCGAGGGCUUUAAUGUGGGACGUAGGCCGAUUUCCGGGUGUUGUAGGUUUCUCUUUUUCAGGCUUAUUUUCUCAGCAGCUUGUCUGAAGCUUUUGAGGGCAGACUCCCAAGGCCCGGAGGAGUGGUAGAUGGCAAGUUUUAUGGUUUUUGUCUUUUAACCAAUUUGAGGGAAACAAAUGAAUUUGAGACAAAAUCAAGACAAGUCUUGUAACCAGGGUUUUGUUUUUUUUUUUUUAAAUUAGCUUGGGGUGAUACGAAGCAUUUUAGUUUUGUAAAGAGAUGUGAAUGUUGAGUUUGGGCGUGUAACCAGGGGGGGAGUUUUGUGGGGGUGGGGGCAAAAUAUGUUUUGAGUUCUUUUCCCUUAGGUCUGGCUAGAAUCUCAAAGGCAAAUGACACAAGGUGACAGAAACAAAGAAAAUCCAGUAUCAGGAUAAACAGAACACCACAGGUUUAUGGUUUCUAAAAAACUAGGUCUGUGGCUGAGCUGUCCAUUGGAGAAAUGGCUGGUAGUUACUCUUUUUUCCCCCCACCCCUUAAUCAGAUUUUAAAGUAUGUGACACCUUUACUUGAAGUAUUUUGGGGUGGUCUUAACAGGGAAGAGGGUGGGGGAGAAAAUGUUUUUUCCCCUAAGAUUUUCUGCAGAUUGUGUAGUACUGUUGACAAAUUCGGGGUUAGACAAGGAUUGUACUGACAUGCUGUUGGCAACAACGCCUUUAGGGAUUGGAGCUGCUUUUUCCCUUGGAGGAGUAUUUCCGGUUGAAGCUGAAAUGCAGACAGCACAGUGCAGCUUUGGUUCACAUUCAGUCACCUCAGGAGAACUUCAGAAGAGCUUGACUAGGCCAGAUGUUGAAGUUAAGUUUUCAAAUAAUGUGACUUUUAAAAUUCCUUUUAUUGAAGGGGAGGGGCAAAUUUUGGUAAUUAGUCUUUGGCAGUGGCUUGUUAAAGUUGGGAUUGGGAGGGUUGGGGUUAGGUAAUUGUUUAGUUUAUGAUUUCAGAUAACUCAUGCCAGAGAACUUAAAAUACUUAGGAUGGAAAAACUAAGAAAUCGCAACUUUCAAGUUGGCAAGUAACUCCCAAUCUUCAAGUUUCUGUUCUCCCUCAAUUUUUGAAUUGAGCAGCUUGGGACGUUCUCAUACAGAUCCACUGGAUUCCAAGUGUAGGGCCUGGGGAAGGAAAGUGUGGGCUGGUACUAAAACUUUGGGGGAAUUCUUGAAACGCUUAAGUUUGGAUAUGGUAGUGUGUGGUUCUCUUUUGGAAUUUUUUUCAGGUGACUUAAUAAAACUUAAAACUCUGUAGGAGCUUCAAAGCAGAGGAAGUGGCUUAAUGACCCUGAAGGGAUUUCUUCUGAUGGUAGCUUUUGUGUUAUCAAGUAAGAUUCUGUUUUCAGUUGCACAUACAGCAAGUUUUUUAUUUCAGUGUAGGAAAAAUACUUUUCCUUUAUAUGACUGCAAAACAAGAUGUUAAGGUAUGCUUUAAAGUUAUUGCCAAAUGUGUAUUUUUAUUUUUGCUUUCUAAGUAUUUGUAAAUCAUAACUGAUAAAAGGGUGGGCUUUUGUUGAUGAGGGAGGGGAAACUUUUUUUUCUGUAGACUUUUUUCAGAUGACAUCUUCUGAGUCAUAACCAGCUCGACAGUAAUGAUGGCCUAGAUGGAGAGGGAACAGCUCCUUGGUGAAUGAUAAGUAAAGGCAGAAAAGAUUAUAUUUCAUACCUUCAUUGGGGAAAAGGCAUGGCCCUGAGAUCCUUACUGCUGAUGAAAACAUUGUCUACAUGUGCCAAAAAAAAA